ACUUUAGCAACUAAAAUGUAUACUAAAAUUGGAAUGAUGCAGAGAAGAUUACCAUGGUCCCUGUGCAAGAAUGAACAUAAAUUCAUAAGCAACUCCAUAUUUUU
This 104-nucleotide small nuclear RNA is filed under the name Chrysolophus pictus (golden pheasant). Lineage: Eukaryota; Metazoa; Chordata; Aves; Galliformes; Phasianidae. The record is from RNAcentral.